RNAcentral lists this ribosomal RNA (441 nucleotides) under uncultured bacterium. RNAcentral describes it as "partial 16S ribosomal RNA". It matches the Rfam family "Bacterial small subunit ribosomal RNA", at positions 338 to 795 of the family's 1533-position model. The record is from RNAcentral.
CCUACGGGAGGCAGCAGUGGGGAAUAUUGCACAAUGGGGGAAACCCUGAAGCAGCAACGCCGCGUGAGGGAGGAAGUAUCUAGGUAUGUAAAGCUCCUUUUGUAGGGGAUAGAAAAGAAGGUACCUGAAAUAGAUGCCCGGGCUAUCCACGUGCGAGUAGCCUCGGUAAUACGCAGGAGGCAAGCGUGAUCCGGAUUUACUGGGGUUAAAGGGAGUGUAGACGGAAAGGCAAGUCAGAGGUGAAAGCAUAAGGCUCAACCAUGGAACUGCUUUUGAAACUGUCAGGCUAGAGUACAGGAGAGGUAGGAGGAAUGCCUGGUGUAGCGGUGAAAUGCGUAGAUAUUAGGAAGAACACCAGUGGCGAAGGCGGCUUACUGGGCCGAAACUGACGUUGAGGCUCGAAAGCGUGGGGAGCAAACAGGAUUAGAUACCCGUGUAGUC